This 494-nucleotide ribosomal RNA is filed under the name uncultured bacterium. RNAcentral describes it as "partial 16S ribosomal RNA". It matches the Rfam family "Bacterial small subunit ribosomal RNA", at positions 28 to 507 of the family's 1533-position model. The record is from RNAcentral.
GACGAACGCUGGCGGCGUGCUUAACACAUGCAAGUCGAACGGAAAGGCCUGCUUUCCCUUGUGGAUUGCGGGUACUCGAGUGGCGAACGGGUGAGUAACACGUGAGUGAUCUGCCCCCAACUUGGGUAUAAGCCUGGGAAACUGGGUCUAAUUCCCGAUAGGACUGCAGGGUGGUGCCUGUGGUGGAAAACGAUUUUCUAGUGGUUGGGGAUGAGCUCGCGGCCUAUCAGCUUGUUGGUGGGGUAAUGACCUACCAAGGCGGCGACGGGUAGCCGGCCUGGGAGGGUGGACGGCCACAUUGGGACUGAGAUACGGCCCAGACUCCUACGGGAGGCAGCAGUGGGGAAUAUUGCACAAUGGGCGGAAGCCUGAUGCAGCGACGCCGCGUGGGGGAUGACGGCCUUCGGGUUGUAAACUCCUUUCGACCGCGAGGAAGCCACCUGGUUGGAAGGGUGGUGACGGUAGUGGUAGAAGAAGCACCGGCUAACUACGUG